GAUGAAGAACGUAGCGAAAUGCGAUAAGUAAUGUGAAUUGCAGAAUUCAGUGAAUCAUCGAAUCUUUGAACGCACCUUGCACCCUUUGGACUGCUCCAAAGGGUAUGCUCGUUUGAGUGUCAUUGUACUCUCACACUCUCUGAUCCUUUGGAUUUGGGGAGCAGUGGACUUGGGUGCUUGCUGCUUCCUUGUGGCUCACCUGAAAUGCAUCAGUGCAUCUCUCGAUUGGACAUAGUACGGCGUGGUAAGUGUCUUCGCCGGCACCUCAUAUGAGGGUGGCCGAUCGGGAGCUCUGUGCUUUCAAACCGUCUUCGGACAACGCUGACAACUUGACCUCAAAUCGAGUAGGACUACCCGCUGAACUUAAGCAUAUCAAUAAGCGGAGGA
Molecule: unclassified non-coding RNA, 387 nt
Filed under: soil metagenome
Description: partial contains 5.8S ribosomal RNA, internal transcribed spacer 2, and large subunit ribosomal RNA
Rfam family: 5.8S ribosomal RNA (bases 1-122)
Source: RNAcentral